This 88-nucleotide transfer RNA is filed under the name Kushneria phosphatilytica. RNAcentral describes it as "Kushneria sp. YCWA18 tRNA-Leu". It matches the Rfam family "tRNA". From Rfam's summary of the family: Transfer RNA (tRNA) molecules are approximately 80 nucleotides in length. Their secondary structure includes four short double-helical elements and three loops (D, anti-codon, and T loops). Further hydrogen bonds mediate the characteristic L-shaped molecular structure. tRNAs have two regions of fundamental functional importance: the anti-codon, which is responsible for specific mRNA codon recognition, and the 3' end, to which the tRNAs corresponding amino acid is attached (by aminoacyl-tRNA synthetases). tRNAs cope with the degeneracy of the genetic code in two manners: having more than one tRNA (with a specific anti-codon) for a particular amino acid; and 'wobble' base-pairing, i.e. permitting non-standard base-pairing at the 3rd anti-codon position. The record is from RNAcentral. Lineage: Bacteria; Pseudomonadati; Pseudomonadota; Gammaproteobacteria; Oceanospirillales; Halomonadaceae.
GCCGGUGUGGCGAAAUUGGUAGACGCAGCGGAUUCAAAAUCCGCCGGGCUAAUACCCCGUGUCGGUUCGAGUCCGACCACCGGCACCA